UCAUAAAAUUUACUGAUAGCUCAAUA
Molecule: small RNA, 26 nt
Filed under: Bombyx mori (domestic silkworm)
Lineage: Eukaryota; Metazoa; Arthropoda; Insecta; Lepidoptera; Bombycidae
Description: ovarian small RNA-25853
Source: RNAcentral